This 1227-nucleotide ribosomal RNA is filed under the name marine metagenome. Its description in RNAcentral is "bacterial SSU rRNA". It matches the Rfam family "Bacterial small subunit ribosomal RNA", at positions 8 to 1283 of the family's 1533-position model. The record is from RNAcentral.
AGAGUUUGAUCAUGGCUCAGAACGUACGCUGGCGGCACGCCUAACACAUGCAAGUCGAACGAAGUAGCAAUACUUAGUGGCAGACGGGUGAGUAACAUGUGGGUAUCUGCCCUUUGGCCUGGAAUAACACGAGGAAACUUGUGCUAAUACUGGAUAAGUCUUUACGGAGAAAGCUUUAUGCACCAUUGGAUGAGCCCGCACUUGAUUAGUUUGUUGGUGGGGUAAUGGCCUACCAAGACUGUGAUCAAUAGCUGAUUUGAGAGGAUGAUCAGCCACAUUGGGACUGAGACACGGCCCAAACUCCUACGGGAGGCAGCAGUGGGGAAUCUUGCACAAUGGAGGAAACUCUGAUGCAGCGAUGCCGCGUGAGUGAAGAAGGCCCUUGGGUUGUAAAGCUCUUUCGUCGGGGAAGAAAAUGACUGUACCCGAAUAAGAAGGUCCGGCUAACUUCGUGCCAGCAGCCGCGGUAAUACGAAGGGACCUAGCGUAGUUCGGAAUUACUGGGCUUAAAGAGUUCGUAGGUGGUUGAAAAAGUUGGUGGUGAAAUCCCAGAGCUUAACUCUGGAACUGCCAUCAAAACUUUUCAGCUAGAGUUUGAUAGAGGAAAGCAGAAUUUCUAGUGUAGAGGUGAAAUUCGUAGAUAUUAGAAAGAAUACCAAUUGCGAAGGCAGCUUUCUGGAUCAUUACUGACACUGAGGAACGAAAGCAUGGGUAGCGAAGAGGAUUAGAUACCCUCGUAGUCCAUGCCGUAAACGAUGUGUGUUAGACGUUGGAAAUUUAUUUUCAGUGUCGCAGCGAAAGCGAUAAACACACCGCCUGGGGAGUACGACCGCAAGGUUAAAACUCAAAUGAAUUGACGGGGACCCGCACAAGUAGUGGAGCAUGUGGUUUAAUUCGAAGAUACGCGCAGAACCUUACCAACACUUGACAUGUUCGUCGCGACUUUAAGAGAUUAAAGUUUUCGGUUCGGCCGGACGAAACACAGGUGCUGCAUGGCUGUCGUCAGCUCGUGUCGUGAGAUGUUGGGUUAAGUCCCGCAACGAGCGCAACCCUCACUUUUAGUUGCCAUCAUUUAGUUGGGCACUCUGAAAGAACUGCCAGUGAUAAGCUGGAGGAAGGUGGGGAUGACGUCAAGUCCUCAUGGCCCUUACGUGUUGGGCUACACACGUGCUACAAUGGUAUCUACAACAGGAAGCGAAACAGCGAUGUUAAGCAAAUCCUAAAAGA